GCGUUGGUGGUUUAGUGGUAAAAUUCAUCGUUGCCAUAUGAAGGCCGGUUGUUAUACAUCCUUAAGUCCCGAUUUCGACCUCGAUGAGCCCCGGGUUCGAUUCCCGGCCGACGCA
Phyllosticta paracitricarpa is the source of this 115-nucleotide non-coding RNA. Lineage: Eukaryota; Fungi; Ascomycota; Dothideomycetes; Botryosphaeriales; Phyllostictaceae. The record is from the annotation of a GenBank genome assembly.